CCUACGGGUGGCUGCAGUGGGGAAUAUUGCACAAUGGGGGAAACCCUGAUGCAGCGACGCCGCGUGAAUGAUGAAGGAUUUCGGUAUGUAAACCCCUUUUAGUAGGGAAGAAAAUGACGGUACCUGACUAAUAAGCCCCGGCUAACUACGUGCCAGCAGCCGCGGUAAUACGUAGGGUGCAAGCGUUACUCGGAAUCACUGGGUGGAAAGCGAGCGUAGGCGGGAGCGCAAGUCAGGUGUGAAAUCCUAUGGCUUAACCAUAGAACUGCAUUUGAAACUGUUGUGCUGGAGUGUGGGAGAGGUAGGUGGAAUUCGUGGUGUAGCGGUAAAAUGCGUAGAUAUCAAGAGGAACACCAAUUGCGAAGGCGGCUUACUAGACCAUAACUGACGUUGAGGCUCGAAAGCGUGGGGAGCAAACAGGAUUAGAUACCCGAGUAGUC
Molecule: ribosomal RNA, 440 nt
Filed under: uncultured bacterium
Lineage: Bacteria
Description: partial 16S ribosomal RNA
Rfam family: Bacterial small subunit ribosomal RNA
Source: RNAcentral